Molecule: ribosomal RNA, 436 nt
Filed under: uncultured bacterium
Lineage: Bacteria
Description: bacterial SSU rRNA
Rfam family: Bacterial small subunit ribosomal RNA
Source: RNAcentral
GCAUAACGCGAAGAACCUUACCAAGGCUUGACAUCCCUUGACCGCCAUAGAGAUAUGGCUUCCCUUCGGGGCAAGGAGACAGGUGGUGCAUGGUUGUCGUCAGCUCGUGUCGUGAGAUGUUGGGUUAAGUCCCGCAACGAGCGCAACCCUUAUCAUUAGUUGCCAGCACUUCGGGUGGGAACUCUAAUGAGACUGCCGGGGAUAACUCGGAGGAAGGUGGGGACGACGUCAAAUCAUCAUGCCCCUUAUGUCUUGGGCUACACACGUGCUACAAUGGCCGGUACAAAGAGCUGCGAAAUCGUAAGGUAGAGCGAAUCUCAAAAAACCGGUCCCAGUUCGGAUUGUGGGCUGCAACCCGCCCACAUGAAGCCGGAGUUGCUAGUAAUCGCGAAUCAGCACGUCGCGGUGAAUGCGUUCCCGGGUCUUGUACACACCG